Molecule: ribosomal RNA, 484 nt
Filed under: uncultured bacterium
Lineage: Bacteria
Description: partial 16S ribosomal RNA
Rfam family: Bacterial small subunit ribosomal RNA
Source: RNAcentral
AUUGAACGCUGGCGGCAGGCCUAACACAUGCAAGUCGAGCGGGUGAAGGGAGCUUGCUCCUGGAUUCAGCGGCGGACGGGUGAGUAAUGCCUAGGAAUCUGCCUGGUAGUAGGGGAUAACGUCCGGAAACGGGCGCUAAUACCGCAUACGUCCUGAGGGAGGAAGUGGGGGAUCUUCGGACCUCACGCUAUCAGAUGAGCCUAGGUCGGAUUAGCUAGUUGGUGGGGUAAAGGCCUACCAAGGCGACGAUCCGUAACUGGUCUGAGAGGAUGAUCAGUCACACUGGAACUGAGACACGGUCCAGACUCCUACGGGAGGCAGCAGUGGGGAAUAUUGGACAAUGGGCGAAAGCCUGAUCCAGCCAUGCCGCGUGUGUGAAGAAGGUCUUCGGAUUGUAAAGCACUUUAAGUUGGGAGGAAGGGCAGUAAGUUAAUACCUUGCUGUUUUGACGUUACCAACAGAAUAAGCACCGGCUAACUUCGUG